RNAcentral lists this ribosomal RNA (195 nucleotides) under uncultured Streptococcus sp. Its description in RNAcentral is "partial 16S ribosomal RNA". It matches the Rfam family "Bacterial small subunit ribosomal RNA", at positions 1188 to 1382 of the family's 1533-position model. Lineage: Bacteria; Bacillati; Bacillota; Bacilli; Lactobacillales; Streptococcaceae. The record is from RNAcentral.
UACAUCUAUGCCCCUUAUGACCUGGGCUACACACGUGCUACAAUGGUUGGUACAACGAGUUGCGAGUCGGUGACGGCGAGCUAAUCUCUUAAAGCCAAUCUCAGUUCGGAUUGUAGGCUGCAACUCGCCUACAUGAAGUCGGAAUCGCUAGUAAUCGCGGAUCAGCACGCCGCGGUGAAUACGUUCCCGGGCCUU